Long non-coding RNA from Oreochromis aureus, 937 nucleotides. The record is from Ensembl. Lineage: Eukaryota; Metazoa; Chordata; Actinopteri; Cichliformes; Cichlidae.
UAGGAAUGUUGCCAACAUGCCAUUUUAGGUGAGGCAUGGUAAUAAAGUCUUUAAUAUGUUACUUCAUUUGGCCACUUUAUAUUAUUGAAAAUACGGUUUUAUCACACUUGUUACAUUAGCCGGAUUAGGCUACAUUGUACUGCACUGUAGGGACUUUGUAAUAAUGUUGAUUUAACGUUGUUUUUGUCAUUGAUAUUUGAUCUAUUUGUAGUCGACCAGGUGACAACAACUACGUUGAAAAACAACAAACAACAUCUAUUUAUAGAUGACCAGAGAUCAAAGCUGCGAUCAUCCAAAGAGCCUCUUUCAGUGCACCCCCCUCACAGUGGUACAUCCCUUCAGGUAACCAUUCACAAGUCAUGUACAGUAGAGCGGGACAUUACAGUUACUCUCAGCGGAAUUCACUGGAGAAGGCACAAGUUCAUGCACUGCACUGGCCUGCACCACGAUUAUAAGGUGGAGUAAUGCAUGAAUGGAUAAAAAAGAGUGAGAGGUUAUCAGCUGUUGAGGAGCAAAUGGAGAUCCGUGUCCAGGGGAGUGAGGCUAUUGCGAGUGUGAAAGGUUGUCCAGGAAGUAACUAAGAAGACAUGAACAGAGAGGUGGUGAUCCUCAGAGGAGCGAUGAAGUAGAGCAGCCAGCACCCCAAGUAGAGCAGGCACUGUGGAAAAAUAGUUGUGACUCAACCAGACCAUUACAAAGUAUGGCCUGGAGGAUUUUCAUCUCAAGGUGCAAGAACAUUCUUAAUGACUGUACACGGCGGCUGCUGAUGGACGAUGUUGGGCCAAAUGUGCUACAGUUAGCGUUAAGGAGGUUGGAGACUAUGCAGAGAAGCCUUCAGUGGGCAAGAGGAAGACUGAUCAAUGUAACUGCAGCAGAUCAACUUCUGCGUGACUUGGCUGAAUUGAUUCAGGAGGUCGAACUGUCUACUCAGCAUGGC